CUGCCACCCUAAUUAAUUUGUCCUUCCUGACCCCCUCCCCCCCCCCUCCCCAAAAGUCAUAAUUACACAAUCCGCUAUAUCAGCGCAGUGGUUCAGUUCAUCUGGCUGGGGUUGAUUAGGUGGAUGCUAAUAUAAUCACGGAUAUAAUCAGAUAUGGGGUUUUUAUUUUUGUUCUUUUCUUACAACACGCAUGGUUUUUCUGCACCAUAUUGUCCAAUUGCAUUCUCAUCACACUCCCCUUUCACAGCAUAGCUUUUCACUGUAUAAUUUUACCUGCUAUGAGUUUCAGAUUUGUGAAGAAAAUGAUGGAAAAAUGGGGAGUGGGGGAGGGGGUGUGUGUGAAGGAAGAUGUGGCCCCCUGCUUGCUAUGUCUUAAAGGGAGCAGAAGAAUUGUACUGGGACUCCAGAAAGGGGGGGAGAAUGCUGCCUGCUGUUGCCUCAUCAUCAUACAAGCGUUUCACGCCUGUCUGCCUGCCUCCUCUUCCUCUUCAUCCUUGUCCUUGUUGGUUUAUUUUUAUUAUUAAUUUAUUAACUUGAUUGUUUGCUUUUUUUUUUGUUAGUUAAUGAAUACCUAAAUGUGUGUGUGUGUGUGUGUGUGUGUAUAUAUAUAUAUAUAUAUAUAUGCAGAGAGGGAGGGGUUCAAACAUCAAAAAAGAUAUUGUGAGCCAUGGACUUGUUGGGAAUAUUAGUUGUAUUUGUUUGCAGCUUCUUUGAUUGUUAGCUCCCCUGAACUUGAUAAUAGCACCUGGUCCAAAUUUCAAGCAACUCAGAGACAAUCAUUUCUUCACCCAUUAUAUUCAAUUUAUUCAACCUUUGACAUGAUUUAGUCUUUGACAGUUGAUUUUGAUUUAAUAAUUACAUUUUUGGGAUGGGUUUGUGUUGCAUGACACCCACUAGAUGAUUAUGUAUAUAUAUAUAUAUAUAUAUAUAUUUGUGUGACUUACUUUUUCUCAGUAUAAAAAUGUAAAUUGUCAAAAUUGACACUAUAUAUGUCUGUUGAGGAAAGUUGUGCUUUGGGGCAGCUACUAAAGCUAAGCUGAGGAGCUUUGAUAAUCAAAAAGUCCACAACCAACUGAAGUACACUAUGUUGAUCAAGUACAUUAUACAAUGUGGCUUAAAAAAUUCACCCAUUCUUAUUUUGUUUUAUUAAAAUAUCCAUCAAAAAGUAUGAUGCAUAAAAUAAUUAUAUUUCAGCAUUUGGUUAAUCUGUAUUUUUUUACUUAAAUAAGAGUAAUAUAAUUACAAGAUCUAGUCUAUAGCAUGAAGAUGGGAGAAUCGAAUUAUUUAAAAGGGGAUAACUGUAAUGCUUAAUGUAUUCACCUACAAACAAACAUAUUUUAAAAAAUCUUGGUCAUAUAACUUAACAUAGUUUUUCUAUUUAUACAAACCAAUGCAAUAAAUAAAUAAAAAGAGAGAGAGAAAAUAUAAAAAUAAAAUAUUCAUACACAUACUUUUAAAAUUAAAAUAUAUCAAUGCAUCUUAUCAUGGUUAAUAAAAUGUUAAAAUAAAAUAAAUGUUAUCACUUUAUGAAUAUUAAAUUUCAUGAAGAUGCCUAAGAAAUGACUUAUUUUGUAUUGAUAAAAUAUGGCAUGUAAUGUAUCUUUAAGAAAAUUAAAAGAUUGAUUUUCUUGUAUUUAUUUAUUUUUUAUAAAAAAAUCUACAUAAUAGUAUCUAUUUUAUAUAACUCAUAUUUUCCACAAAUUAUUAGGUUGUAAGAUACUUAAGAUGCAUAAAUUUUAAGUUGGAAUGUUAUCAAAUGUGUAUUUUGAAAAGAGAGACAUUAAAAAGACCACAUAUUGUACUAUUUAUAAACUCUAUAAGACACAUAUGAUGUAUUUUAAAUCUUUGCUAUCUUCCUGAUAAGUAAAACAUUUAUACUUAUUAAUUUUGAGAAAGCCAAAGCACUAAUUAUGACAGAAAAUAGUUUGCAUUGUAUCUGAUAUUGAUUAAAAUUUAAAUUUUGUAAAUAGUUUAAUUUGAAACGAAAAGAAAUAAAGAUGCAAAUACAAGCAUGCUAGAUAGAGAAUAAAAAACAUGAGUAUUUUGGGAUAUGCUAAAACGUGACAUAAAACUCAAAAGAGUUUUAAAUGGUUUAUAGUUGUCUAAAUUCAACGAAGAAAUUAUUGAAAAUUUCAAAUUUUUUGAUGUUCAAAAAACAAUAUAAUGAUUUAUUGUUCAAUAUACUGGUAAGGAAUAUUUUCUGGCAAUCACAUCCUCAAAAAGUUAUUUAAAAACUUUGUAAAAAAGUAAUUUUUUGUUUUGUUUUGUUUUGUUUUUUUUUUUUUUUUUGAGAAAUUAGCACAAAUCUAAUUAAGAAAUUUUACAAAUUAAUCAGUUACAAUUUUUUAUUUUUUUAUUUUUUUAUUUACAUGUAUAUCUAUUUAUAGCUCUGGAAUACAGUGAGAAUAUAACUUAUAAAAUUAAUCCAUGUAAUUGGCAUUGUCUUUUGACAGACUAUUUUUUCUUUUUGUCUUUGUUCUUUAUAUUUGUAUGUAUGUAUGUUCUUUACGAAUUUUAACAGUUUUACUAAUAAAAAAAAUUAAGAAAUUUUUUCAAAAUGAGGCUUUUAACAUGUAACAUAUUAAUUGUGUACUAUGAAUUGAAAUCAUUGACAUUAUUUAUUAAAAUGCAUAGAGAAAUAAAAAUAUAGUAGUUAUCACCAAUGUAUAAUGUACAAAUUCUGCAUUAUUUUAUGUUUUACUUUUUAUAUUACCUCCCAAUCUACUCUAAUCAUCUUAAUACCUAUUAAUUUAUUUUCAAGUUUCAAUCAAAGUACUUGUUUUCAAUCACAAAAUGAAUGGUUAACACAUGAGAUUGAAACCAAAAUAAUAUUCACUUAAUAACUUACUUCGGAAUAUCAAUAUUAUGUUAUAUUAUAUUAUAUUAUUUUAUAAAUAAAGAAAAAUACCAAAAUAUUAUUAUCCAGCUACAUAUUUUAUUUUAUUUGUGCAUUGAAGUUUUUUAUUGUAAACAAAUUAGAAACACAUAAAGACGUCAUUAAAUCUUUAAAUUUUUCAGUAUUACUAAAGAAAAUAGAACAAACGUAACCUACAUCAGUUUUAAAGAAGUAAUAACAGCUUUCAAAGUAUAACCUAUAAAUUGAAGCCUUGUUUAUGAAUAAAAUGUUUUUGUUAUAGAAUAUAUACAUUUGUUUUAGGAAAAAAAAAAAUGUAUAAAUAAUAAGCUCGUUUUUAUUCAGUUAUGUGCUUUUUGAUAUAAAAAUAAUUGUAUAUAAUUAUAUAUAGUCACUCAUAUCAAUAUCAUAACCUUUUCUAUAAUUGAAGUUCCUAGAUUUUUUUGCGGUAUUAAUAAGGCAGCAUAUUUUCAUAUUAUUUUCAAACUCAUGUAUUAAUUAAUUUAAUACUCAAAAUGGACUCAGUGCUGGGAGGUCUAUCAAAAUUGGACUUAUAUACAACAAAAUUAAGAGACUUAUUAAAAAAGAUGGAACGUGUUCAUCAUCUGACAUGAUAAAACUAAUUUCCAGAUACUAAUAAUACUUUGAUUGAUUUGGCCAAUUGUUAUUACGAUUGCACACAAAUUUCAUGCUCUAACACCCACGGACUAGUGUAUGAGAAGUUAAAUUAAUGCUUAUUUUAAAUGGUUGUUUUACUUGUAAAUUCACAGCAGUCAAAUAAUUGAAUGUACCUUCUUAUUGUUAUCUUCAAAACAUUGGAAUCAACUUAGCCCUUUGCUUUUUCGUUUCUAUAACAACAUGAAAAAUAUUAAAAAAACCCUACAUCCUGUUAGUUUUAUAUAUUUAUAUAAUGAAUCAUUUUGUUUGAAUUUUACCCUAUAGACAAAGGAGGCUCCUGAUAAUAAAAAGAAUCGAAAGAGAAACGUAAAGAUGAUGCCAAACUAUACAUUACAAUUAUUAUUUGCAAUAAUACAUCUUAUAAUAAUAGAACAUAUUAUUCGUUUUUUAUAACACAACCUCAAAGUUUCUAAAUUGAACGCCGAAGACAUUGUCCACAAAAAAAUUAUAUAUAUAUAUAUAUAUAUAUAUAGAUGUAUGUAUGUAUGCACUUCUAAUAAUAUAUAUUUAUUUUAAUUUUAAUUAAUGAAGUUAGGCUUUGUUGUACGCAGGGUCUGGUUUAAGGUGUAGCUGCUCUGGGUUUGUCUGAAGAUGUCUGAUUGCCCCCCUCCUCUCCUUCAUUUGGGAACUUGUUCCCAAGUCUGCGAACCCUCUUGAAUCAACAACUACCACCACCCUCAGGAACUCUCCAGAACCUUCCAUUCUCAUUCAUCCACAAGCUCAAUCAUCCGUCCAUCACAUAUGCUCCUUUCAUCUAGGACUGUAUUCUUCGGGAUCCU
Molecule: long non-coding RNA, 4311 nt
Filed under: Physcomitrium patens
Lineage: Eukaryota; Viridiplantae; Streptophyta; Bryopsida; Funariales; Funariaceae
Description: long non-coding RNA (PPAT_LNC004683)
Source: RNAcentral